ACCAAACAAGAAAGCUGGUUUUAUUCUUUUCUAAAAUGAUUUUUAUUUGGAUUGAAAAGUUUCAACCGAAUUUUUCAAUUUGGAUUCGGUUUUGCAUUUGGAAAAUUGAAAAACCAAACUACACCGAAAUUUACUUAUUAAUACCGGCCAUUUUUCAUUAGGCCCAAACAAUAAGUAACUCUCCAUUAAAAGCUUGUAACCCUAAAGAGCCUAAACCUAUUUUACAAUCGCAGCACGCCUCCCUCCUUCCUCCUCCCUCCUCCUUUCUCUGUAAUCACUUUCUUCCUCUAUCAAGCUUUGUCCUUGUUCAUCCAGCUUCGUCAAUCUUCAUCUGUAAAUCUUCAUCAACAUCUUCACCUUCAUCAGAUUGGAGAGUAUUUCCAUUUCAGAUUCAAUAAUUUUUUUCAGUUUAAAAAAUUCUAUAUUUCUUAUUGUUAUUUAUGAAUUAUUUUUAUAAUUUGUAGAUGGUAGAAUUCACAUGUAUUUUUAAUUUUUUUAAUUGAAUUUUCGCAAUUUUUCUCGUUUUUUGUUUGGUAACUGAUAUAAUUCGGUGUAAUCAGUCCAGUUCGGUGUAGUAGAAGUUCGGUUUAGUUCGGUUCGGUGUUGAAUUUUUUUAAUUUGGAUUUGGACUUGAAAUAUGAAGACUGAAUUUAAUUUGUUUUGAAUUUACACCCUUAUCGA
Molecule: long non-coding RNA, 681 nt
Organism: Amaranthus tricolor (Joseph's coat)
Lineage: Eukaryota; Viridiplantae; Streptophyta; Magnoliopsida; Caryophyllales; Amaranthaceae
Exons: 2
Source: RefSeq, a predicted model, not a curated record